This 324-nucleotide ribosomal RNA is filed under the name Podarcis peloponnesiacus (Peloponnese wall lizard). Its description in RNAcentral is "partial large subunit ribosomal RNA". Lineage: Eukaryota; Metazoa; Chordata; Lepidosauria; Squamata; Lacertidae. The record is from RNAcentral.
UGUCUCUUACGGACUAGCCAAUGAAAUUGAUCCUUCAGUACAAAAGCUGGAAUUAGCCCAUAAGACGAGAAGACCCUGUGGAGCUUCAAAACCAAAAUCACCAAACAUGCUUCAUGGGUUUUUAGUUGGGGCGACUUUGGAGCAAAAAAAACCCUCCAAACAUAAAUCUAUUUAUUAAGACUAACACACCAAAAAAAUAUUAUAGACCCAGCAGUAUCUAUUUACUGKCUGACCAAUGAACCAAGUUACCCCAGGGAWAACARCGCCAUCCUCUUCUARAGUCCYUAWCGACAAGAGGGUUUACSACCUCSAUGUUGGAUCAGG